CAUUUAUCAGUGAUGUGUUUAUAAUAAAUGUCUGAACAUAUGAUACUCUGUGAUUUCAUUUUCUUACUGAGAUAGAUG
Rana temporaria (common frog) is the source of this 78-nucleotide small nucleolar RNA. RefSeq annotates it as small nucleolar RNA SNORD72. NCBI's taxonomy places the organism in Eukaryota, Metazoa, Chordata, Amphibia, Anura, Ranidae. The transcript has a single exon. The record is from RefSeq and is a predicted model, not a curated record.